GGGAACAACCUCUCGAAAGAGAGGCUAAUACCCAAAAGGGUCAGUAAUGAUCAGAGUCGAAAGGCGUGAGGAGAGGAGCCCGCGGCCCAUCAGCUAGUUGGUGAGGUAAUGGCUUACCAAGGCUACGACGGGUAGGGGAUCUGAGAGGAUGUCCCCCACACUGGAACUGAAACACGGUCCAGACGCCUACGGGUGGCAGCAGUGAGGAAUAUUGGACAAUGGGCGAAAGCCCGAUCCAGCAACGCCGCGUGGAGGAUGAAGGCCUUCGGGUCGUAAACUUCUUUAGAGGGAGACGAGAAAGGACGGUAUCCCUAGAAUAAGCGACGGCAAACUACGUGCCAGCAGCCGCGGUAACACGUAGGUCGCGAGCGUUAUCCGGAUUUACUGGGCGUAAAGCGCUUGUAGGCGGUUCUGUAAGUCGGGCGUGAAAUCUCCGGGCUUAACCCGGAGUGGCCGUUCGAUACUGCAGGGUUGAGGAUGCUAGAGGGUGGUGGAAUUCCAGGUGUAGUGGUGAAAUGCGUAGAUAUCUGGAGGAACAUCCGUGGCGAAGGCGGCCACCUGGGGCAUUCCUGACGCUGAGAAGCGACAGCUAGGGGAUCAAACGGGAUUAGAAACCCCGGUAGUCCUAGCCGUAAACGAUGGACGCUAGGUGUUGGCAGAUCUAACCCUGUCUGCGCCGAAGCAAACGCGUUAAGCGUCCCGCCUGGGAACUACGGUCGCAAGAUUAAAACUCAAAGGAAUUGACGGGGACCCGCACAAGCAGCGGAGCGUGUGGUUUAAUUCGAUUCUACACGAAGAACCUUACCCAGGUUUGACAUACUAGUGGUAGUGAACUGAAAGGGGAACGACCCGCAAGGGAGCUAGUACAGGUGUUGCAUGGCUGUCGUCAGCUCGUGUCGUGAGAUGUUGGUUUAAGUACCCUAACGAGCGCAACCCUUAUUGCCAGUUACACGUAUCUGGCGAGACUGCCGGCCACAAGCCGGAGGAAGGCGAGGAUGACGUCAAGUCAGCAUGGCCUUUAUAUCUGGGGCUACACACACGCUACAAUGGGCGUAACAAUGGGAUGCCAAGCCGUGAGGCGGAGCCAAUCCCCCAAAUACGUCCUCAGUUCAGAUUGCAGGCUGCAACCCGCCUGCAUGAAGUCGGAGUUGCUAGUAAACGCGCGUCAGCUAUAGUGCGUUGAAUACGUUCCCGGGUCUUGUACACACCGCCCGUCACACUAUGGGAGCUGGUAAUACCUGAAGCCGGUAGCCUAACCGCAAGGAAGGCGCCGUCAAAGGUAGGGCUGGUGACUGGAGUGAAGUCGUAACAAGGUA
Molecule: ribosomal RNA, 1316 nt
Filed under: metagenome
Description: bacterial SSU rRNA
Rfam family: Bacterial small subunit ribosomal RNA
Source: RNAcentral